Molecule: ribosomal RNA, 438 nt
Filed under: uncultured bacterium
Lineage: Bacteria
Description: partial 16S ribosomal RNA
Rfam family: Bacterial small subunit ribosomal RNA
Source: RNAcentral
AACGAACGCUGGCGGCAUGCCUAACACAUGCAAGUCGAACGAGACCUCCGGGUCUAGUGGCGCACGGGUGCGUAACGCGUGGGAACCUGCCUUUAGGUUCGGAAUAAUUCAGAGAAAUUUGAGUUAAUACCGGUUGAUGUCUUCGGACCAAAGAUCUAGUGCCUGUGGAUGGGCCCGGGUUGGAUUAGCCUGUUGGUGGGGUAGAGGCCUACCAAGGCGUCGAUCGGGAGCUGGUAUGAGAGGAUGACCGGCCACAGUGGGACUGAGAUACGGCUCAGACUCAUACGGGAGGCAGCAGUGGGGAAUAGUGCAUAAUGGGCGGAAGCAUGAUGCAGAAACGCCGCGUGCGGGAUGACGGCCGUCGGGUUGUAAACAGAUUUAGCAGGUGACGAAGCGGGAGUGACGGUAAUGGGUAAAGAAGCACCGGCUAACUACGUG